This 264-nucleotide ribosomal RNA is filed under the name uncultured archaeon. RNAcentral's name for it is "partial 16S ribosomal RNA". It matches the Rfam family "Archaeal small subunit ribosomal RNA", at positions 717 to 982 of the family's 1478-position model. The record is from RNAcentral.
ACACGACUACAUUAGAUACCCGCGUAGUCCCAGCCCUAAACGAUGCGCGUUAGGUGUAUCGGUGACCACGAGUCACCGAGGUGCCGAAGGGAAACCGUGAAACGUGCCGCCUGGGAAGUACGGUCGCAAGGCUGAAACUUAAAGGAAUUGGCGGGGAGCACCACAACGGGUGGAGCCUGCGGUUUAAUUGGACUCAACGCCGGGAAGCUCACCGGAUAAGACAGCGGAAUGAUUGCCGGGCUGAAGACCCUGCAUGACCAGCUG